This 136-nucleotide non-coding RNA is filed under the name Bacillus atrophaeus. Its description in RNAcentral is "FMN sequence". It matches the Rfam family "FMN riboswitch aptamer (RFN element)". Rfam says of the family: The RFN element is a highly conserved domain that is found frequently in the 5'-untranslated regions of prokaryotic mRNAs that encode for flavin mononucleotide (FMN) biosynthesis and transport proteins. This element is a metabolite-dependent riboswitch that directly binds FMN in the absence of proteins. Lineage: Bacteria; Bacillati; Bacillota; Bacilli; Caryophanales; Bacillaceae. The record is from RNAcentral.
AUCAAUCUUCGGGGCAGGGUGUAAUUCCCUACCGGCGGUGAUGAGUCUAAGUGCUCUAAGCCCGCGAGCUGUUUUUACAGCAGGAUUCGGUGUGAUUCCGAAGCCGACAGUAUAGUCUGGAUGGGAGAAGAUGGAG